GGUUAAGCGACUAAGCGUACACGGUGGAUGCCCUGGCAGUCAGAGGCGAUGAAGGACGUGCUAAUCUGCGAUAAGCGUCGGUAAGGUGAUAUGAACCGUUAUAACCGGCGAUUUCCGAAUGGGGAAACCCAGUGUGAUUCGUCACACUAUCAUUAACUGAAUCCAUAGGUUAAUGAGGCGAACCGGGGGAACUGAAACAUCUAAGUACCCCGAGGAAAAGAAAUCAACCGAGAUUCCCCCAGUAGCGGCGAGCGAACGGGGAGCAGCCCAGAGCCUGAAUCAGUGUGUGUGUUAGUGGAAGCGUCUGGAAAGGCGUGCGAUACAGGGUGACAGCCCCGUACACAAAAAUGCACAUAUUGUGAGCUCGAUGAGUAGGGCGGGACACGUGGUAUCCUGUCUGAAUAUGGGGGGACCAUCCUCCAAGGCUAAAUACUCCUGACUGACCGAUAGUGAACCAGUACCGUGAGGGAAAGGCGAAAAGAACCCCGGCGAGGGGAGUGAAAAAGAACCUGAAACCGUGUACGUACAAGCAGUGGGAGCACGCUUAGGCGUGUGACUGCGUACCUUUUGUAUAAUGGGUCAGCGACUUAUAUUCUGUAGCAAGGUUAACCGAAUAGGGGAGCCGAAGGGAAACCGAGUCUUAACUGGGCGUUAAGUUGCAGGGUAUAGACCCGAAACCCGGUGAUCUAGCCAUGGGCAGGUUGAAGGUUGGGUAACACUAACUGGAGGACCGAACCGACUAAUGUUGAAAAAUUAGCGGAUGACUUGUGGCUGGGGGUGAAAGGCCAAUCAAACCGGGAGAUAGCUGGUUCUCCCCGAAAGCUAUUUAGGUAGCGCCUCGUGAAUUCAUCUCCGGGGGUAGAGCACUGUUUCGGCAAGGGGGUCAUCCCGACUUACCAACCCGAUGCAAACUGCGAAUACCGGAGAAUGUUAUCACGGGAGACACACGGCGGGUGCUAACGUCCGUCGUGAAGAGGGAAACAACCCAGACCGCCAGCUAAGGUCCCAAAGUCAUGGUUAAGUGGGAAACGAUGUGGGAAGGCCCAGACAGCCAGGAUGUUGGCUUAGAAGCAGCCAUCAUUUAAAGAAAGCGUAAUAGCUCACUGGUCGAGUCGGCCUGCGCGGAAGAUGUAACGGGGCUAAACCAUGCACCGAAGCUGCGGCAGCGACGCUUAUGCGUUGUUGGGUAGGGGAGCGUUCUGUAAGCCUGUGAAGGUGUGCUGUGAGGCAUGCUGGAGGUAUCAGAAGUGCGAAUGCUGACAUAAGUAACGAUAAAGCGGGUGAAAAGCCCGCUCGCCGGAAGACCAAGGGUUCCUGUCCAACGUUAAUCGGGGCAGGGUGAGUCGACCCCUAAGGCGAGGCCGAAAGGCGUAGUCGAUGGGAAACAGGUUAAUAUUCCUGUACUUGGUGUUACUGCGAAGGGGGGACGGAGAAGGCUAUGUUGGCCGGGCGACGGUUGUCCCGGUUUAAGCGUGUAGGCUGGUUUUCCAGGCAAAUCCGGAAAAUCAAGGCUGAGGCGUGAUGACGAGGCACUACGGUGCUGAAGCAACAAAUGCCCUGCUUCCAGGAAAAGCCUCUAAGCAUCAGGUAACAUCAAAUCGUACCCCAAACCGACACAGGUGGUCAGGUAGAGAAUACCAAGGCGCUUGAGAGAACUCGGGUGAAGGAACUAGGCAAAAUGGUGCCGUAACUUCGGGAGAAGGCACGCUGAUAUGUAGGUGAAGUCCCUUGCGGAUGGAGCUGAAAUCAGUCGAAGAUACCAGCUGGCUGCAACUGUUUAUUAAAAACACAGCACUGUGCAAACACGAAAGUGGACGUAUACGGUGUGACGCCUGCCCGGUGCCGGAAGGUUAAUUGAUGGGGUCAGCGCAAGCGAAGCUCUUGAUCGAAGCCCCGGUAAACGGCGGCCGUAACUAUAACGGUCCUAAGGUAGCGAAAUUCCUUGUCGGGUAAGUUCCGACCUGCACGAAUGGCGUAAUGAUGGCCAGGCUGUCUCCACCCGAGACUCAGUGAAAUUGAACUCGCUGUGAAGAUGCAGUGUACCCGCGGCAAGACGGAAAGACCCCGUGAACCUUUACUAUAGCUUGACACUGAACAUUGAGCCUUGAUGUGUAGGAUAGGUGGGAGGCUUUGAAGUGUGGACGCCAGUCUGCAUGGAGCCGACCUUGAAAUACCACCCUUUAAUGUUUGAUGUUCUAACGUGGACCCGUGAUCCGGGUUGCGGACAGUGUCUGGUGGGUAGUUUGACUGGGGCGGUCUCCUCCUAAAGAGUAACGGAGGAGCACGAAGGUUGGCUAAUCCUGGUCGGACAUCAGGAGGUUAGUGCAAUGGCAUAAGCCAGCUUGACUGCGAGCGUGACGGCGCGAGCAGGUGCGAAAGCAGGUCAUAGUGAUCCGGUGGUUCUGAAUGGAAGGGCCAUCGCUCAACGGAUAAAAGGUACUCCGGGGAUAACAGGCUGAUACCGCCCAAGAGUUCAUAUCGACGGCGGUGUUUGGCACCUCGAUGUCGGCUCAUCACAUCCUGGGGCUGAAGUAGGUCCCAAGGGUAUGGCUGUUCGCCAUUUAAAGUGGUACGCGAGCUGGGUUUAGAACGUCGUGAGACAGUUCGGUCCCUAUCUGCCGUGGGCGCUGGAGAACUGAGGGGGGCUGCUCCUAGUACGAGAGGACCGGAGUGGACGCAUCACUGGUGUUCGGGUUGUCAUGCCAAUGGCACUGCCCGGUAGCUAAAUGCGGAAGAGAUAAGUGCUGAAAGCAUCUAAGCACGAAACUUGCCCCGAGAUGAGUUCUCCCUGACCCUUUAAGGGUCCUGAAGGAACGUUGAAGACGACGACGUUGAUAGGCCGGGUGUGUAAGCGCAGCGAUGCGUUGAGCUAACCGGUACUAAUGAACCGUGAGGCUUAACCUU
Molecule: ribosomal RNA, 2904 nt
Filed under: Escherichia coli
Lineage: Bacteria; Pseudomonadati; Pseudomonadota; Gammaproteobacteria; Enterobacterales; Enterobacteriaceae
Also listed under: 1 other name
Description: 23S ribosomal RNA
Rfam family: Bacterial large subunit ribosomal RNA
Source: RNAcentral